GACGAACGCUGGCGGCGUGCUUAACACAUGCAAGUCGAACGGAAAGGCCCUGCUUUUGUGGGGUGCUCGAGUGGCGAACGGGUGAGUAACACGUGAGUAACCUGCCCUUGACUUUGGGAUAACUUCAGGAAACUGGGGCUAAUACCGGAUAGGAGCUCCUGCUGCAUGGUGGGGGUUGGAAAGUUUCGGCGGUUGGGGAUGGACUCGCGGCUUAUCAGCUUGUUGGUGGGGUAGUGGCUUACCAAGGCUUUGACGGGUAGCCGGCCUGAGAGGGUGACCGGCCACAUUGGGACUGAGAUACGGCCCAGACUCCUACGGGAGGCAGCAGUGGGGAAUAUUGCACAAUGGGCGGAAGCCUGAUGCAGCAACGCCGCGUGCGGGAUGACGGCCUUCGGGUGGUAAACCGCUUUCGCCUGUACCGAAGCGUGAGUGACGGUAAUGAGUAAAGAAGCACCGGCUAACUACGUG
RNAcentral lists this ribosomal RNA (468 nucleotides) under uncultured bacterium. Its description in RNAcentral is "partial 16S ribosomal RNA". It matches the Rfam family "Bacterial small subunit ribosomal RNA", at positions 28 to 507 of the family's 1533-position model. The record is from RNAcentral.